Molecule: ribosomal RNA, 431 nt
Filed under: uncultured bacterium
Lineage: Bacteria
Description: partial 16S ribosomal RNA
Rfam family: Bacterial small subunit ribosomal RNA
Source: RNAcentral
ACGAACGCUGGCGGCAUGCCUAACACAUGCAAGUCGAACGAGACCUUCGGGUCUAGUGGCGCACGGGUGCGUAACGCGUGGGAACCUGCCCUUAGGUUCGGAAUAACUCCCCGAAAGGGGUGCUAAUACCGGAUAAUGUCUUCGGACCAAAGAUUUAUCGCCUUUGGAUGGGCCCGCGUUGGAUUAGCUAGUUGGUAGGGUAAAAGCCUACCAAGGCGACGAUCCAUAGCUGGUCUGAGAGGAUGAUCAGCACACUGGGACUGAGACACGGCCCAGACUCCUACGGGAGGCAGCAGUGGGGAAUAUUGGACAAUGGGCGAAAGCCUGAUCCAGCAAUGCCGCGUGAGUGAUGAAGGCCUUAGGGUUGUAAAGCUCUUUUACCCGGGAUGAUAAUGACAGUACCGGGAGAAUAAGCUCCGGCUAACUCCGUG